AUUUGAUGGUGUGGGCAACUUGCACAUAGUUUUUUGAAACGCUCCCAAUAUUCAUACAAGGACUCUCCAUUGUUUUGCCCUAUACCACAGAUUUCCUUUCUAAUGUU
Small nucleolar RNA from Ipomoea nil (Japanese morning glory), 107 nucleotides. It matches the Rfam family "Plant small nucleolar RNA R71". From Rfam's summary of the family: R71 is a member of the C/D box family of snoRNAs containing the C (UGAUGA) and D (CUGA) box motifs. Multiple nearly identical copies of this snoRNA have been identified in Arabidopsis, and it is thought to function as a 2'-O-ribose methylation guide for 18S ribosomal RNA. The record is from Rfam. NCBI's taxonomy places the organism in Eukaryota, Viridiplantae, Streptophyta, Magnoliopsida, Solanales, Convolvulaceae.